AGAGAGAGACAUGCGCGCAUAUCAAUAAGCGGAGGAAAAGAAACUAACAAGGAUUCCCUUAGUAACGGCGAGUGAAGCGGGAAGAGCUCAAAUUUGAAAUCUUCAAGGUUUUACCUUGACGAAUUGUAGUUUAAAGAAGUGUUUUCUGCUGAAGUUUUGGUAAAAGUUCUUUGGAAUAGGACAUCAUAGAGGGUGAGAAUCCCGUAUUUGACCAUUAUUUUCAGCUUUGUGAUACACUUUCAAAGAGUCGGAUUGUUUGGGAAUGCAGUCCAAAAUGGGUGGUAAAUUUCAUCUAAAGCUAAAUAUUGGCGAGAGACCGAUAGCGAACAAGUACCGUGAGGGAAAGAUGAAAAGAACUUUGAAAAGAGAGUUAAACAGUACGUGAAAUUGUCAAAAGGGAAGCGUUUGACACCAGUGUUGUUUUCUCGAAAAUCAAUUAAAAAUGGCUCGAUUUUGUAUUGCUUGAGACCUUAAAAGCUCACUGUACAUUUUUCGUGUCUUUUUUAAUGCACUUUUCGUUUAACAAGUCAACAUCAGUUUCUUUUGUUGUAAAAGGGUCAUUGGAAGGUGGCUUUCUUUUCGGAGAAAGUGUUUAUAGCCUUUGGCCUCUGCAAUCGGAAGAGACUGAGGUCUGCAGCGUAGACUCUUCGGGGUUAGAUACAUUUGUGCUAAGUUAUAGCUUUUUAUAGACAACUUGUUGACUAUAAUUAGUCUUGUAGCUUACUCGCUUAUGCUACUUUACCUACGCUUAGGAUGUUGAAGUCAUCGUAUCGCGC
RNAcentral lists this ribosomal RNA (776 nucleotides) under uncultured Neocallimastigales. RNAcentral describes it as "partial large subunit ribosomal RNA". It matches the Rfam family "Eukaryotic large subunit ribosomal RNA", at positions 23 to 645 of the family's 3401-position model. Lineage: Eukaryota; Fungi; Neocallimastigomycota; Neocallimastigomycetes; Neocallimastigales. The record is from RNAcentral.